GGCGCGCGCCCGUGCCCGGCACCCGCCCGCGCCGCCGCGCCGCUCCGGAGCCCGCUGCGGUCACGCUGCGCCCGGCGCCGCAGGGUGGGCGGCGAGGCACUCACGAGGGGGACGCUGAGGGCUUCCGCGCGGGCCACCCGGGUCAAGCGCGCUCCGCCGGGAAACUUCUGCGGGCGCCGGGCUGAAGCUCCGGGCAGGGCUGGGAAGGAAAGUGUUCUUGAAGUCAUUACUUACUGAGAAAAGAAUCACUAUCCAAGAUGAAAAAUCAGGAACUUCAACAACAGCUCCUUUAUUUCCAUUUCUACUUCUGUUGGAAAUACCAAAAUAUUUGCAGACUGGAUCCAAAUCAGGAGCCCAGAUGAACUUAAAGAAGCGAGCAUGGGAUUCUUAGUUUUUCAAGAUCCGUACACACGAAGCCUUUAAUCAGCAUCAACUCCAGUGUCCGUUUUCUCUGGUUUUGUGAAGACUGCACAAAACUCUCAUGAUGGAGAACCAAAGGACUUAGUUACCUGUUUCAGUGUCAUCUAAAGUCAACUGAAAAGUGAAGCAGGCAGUAAUACAGCCAUGGAAAGAAAUUCAAGUUUAUGGAAGAACCUAAUAGAUGAACACCCAGUCUGCACAACCUGGAAGCAAGAGGCCGAAGGAGCCAUUUAUCAUCUUGCCAGUAUUUUAUUUGUAGUAGGUUUCAUGGGUGGCAGUGGAUUCUUCGGGCUCCUUUAUGUCUUCAGUUUGCUGGGGUUGGGUUUUCUCUGUUCUGCUGUCUGGGCUUGGGUAGAUGUCUGUGCAGCUGACAUAUUUUCCUGGAAUUUUGUACUGUUUGUCAUCUGCUUCAUGCAAUUUGUUCAUAUUGCAUAUCAAGUUCGCAGCAUAACCUUUGCCCGAGAAUUCCAAGUGUUGUACAGCUCCCUUUUCCAGCCCCUGGGGAUCUCUUUGCCUGUCUUCAGAACGAUUGCUUUGAGCUCUGAAGUGGUUACUUUGGAAAAGGAACACUGUUAUGCCAUGCAGGGGAAAACUUCCAUUGAUAAACUCUCCUUGCUUGUUUCAGGAAGGAUCAGAGUGACAGUUGAUGGCGAAUUUCUGCAUUACAUUUUCCCCCUUCAGUUCCUGGAUUCUCCUGAGUGGGAUUCACUGAGACCCACAGAGGAAGGCAUUUUUCAGGUAACCCUCACUGCAGAAACUGAUUGUCGAUAUGUGUCUUGGAGGAGAAAGAAAUUAUAUCUGCUCUUUGCUCAGCAUCGCUACAUCUCCCGCCUUUUUUCAGUGCUAAUUGGCAGUGACAUUGCAGAUAAACUCUAUGCCUUGAAUGACAGGGUAUAUAUAGGAAAAAGAUAUCACUAUGAUAUUCGGCUACCCAACUUCUAUCAAAUGUCAACUCCAGAAAUACGCAGAUCACCCCUGACACAACAUUUUCAGAAUUCCAGACGAUACUGUGAUAAAUGACAUCAAAGUCUGAAAUUUAUAAGUAUAAAAAAAGACUCUCUCUUCAUCAUUCCCCAGUGAAAUAGCAAAAUACAAAAAAAGAGCUCCCUAAUGUUUUUAUAAAUCAAAUUCAGAAGCGAGAUGCCAUUGCCAACUGUUUUAUUCCUUUCAACAACUGCAUUGUGAAU
This 1607-nucleotide long non-coding RNA is filed under the name Homo sapiens (human). RNAcentral describes it as "long non-coding RNA NONHSAT209508.1". Lineage: Eukaryota; Metazoa; Chordata; Mammalia; Primates; Hominidae. The record is from RNAcentral.